This is a non-coding RNA of Taeniopygia guttata (zebra finch), 835 nucleotides long. Lineage: Eukaryota; Metazoa; Chordata; Aves; Passeriformes; Estrildidae. The record is from RefSeq and is a predicted model, not a curated record.
AGGCCGCCCCGGGCCGCGGCCCCGGGCAGCGCCAUCUUGGUGGCACACCGGCGGCGAUCACGUGCGCCUCCGAGCGCUGAUUGGCUGCCGCGCCGGAAGUGUGCUCAGGCUGGGGGUUCCGGGCUCAGCCUUGAACCCCCGCAUUUCCGUUCCCCCGGGCGGGACCGGGUCCUCCCCGGUCCAACCGGGACCGGCUCAGUCCCGGUUCUGUCCCGGCGGCCGCUGGGUGGGUGAGCCGGGACCCUCCUGCCGUUUCCCCGCGGUUUGAAACUUGCCCAGUGCUUUCCAGGAGCUGCCGCUGUCCCGGGGCGUGCGGGAGUCCAAAGAGGGGCCAAGGACAAUCUGCAAGGAAGAUGAGGAGCCUUCAUCCCUAUGGCCACUGUGAAAAACACAGAUUUUAUUAUUGGCUUUUCGCAAAUGUUACAAUGAAUAUUAUAUGUGUAAUGUUAGAAAGUGAUGCUGUGUUAAUUCUCUUAAGUGGUGUGUUAAAUAUAGUUUUAGGUUUGUGAAAAACGCCAAUUAUUUGGUUUAAAAAUUUUAAAAACCAACUGAUUGGCGUUUUUCACAAUGUAAAAAAUGCAGAUUUUAUGAUUGGCUUUUUGCAAAUGUUACAAUGAAUAUUAUGUGUGUAAUGUUAGAAAGUGAUGCUGUGUUAAUUCUCUUAAGUGCUGUGUUAAAUAUAGUUUUAGGUUUGUGAAAAACGCCAAUUACUUGGUUUAAAAAUUUUAAAAACCAACUGAUUGGCGUUUUUCACGACCACCAAAGACAGAAAAAAUAAAGACCCCCAACAACCAAUUGCACUGGCAAAGUACAUGGAAAGAAAACACGUCAACCA